CAGCCGCCGCGGGAAUACGUAGGUGGCAAGCGUUGUCCGGAAUUAUUGGGCGUAAAGGGCUCGCAGGCGGUUUCUUAAGUCUGAUGUGAAAGCCCCCGGCUCAACCGGGGAGGGUCAUUGGAAACUGGGAAACUUGAGUGCAGAAGUGGAGAGUGGAAUUCCGCGUGUAGCGGUGAAAUGCGUAGAGAUGUGGAGGAACACCAGUGGCGAAGGCGACUCUCUGGUCUGUAACUGACGCUGAGGAGCGAAAGCGUGGGGAGCGAACAGGAUUAGAUACCCGGGUAGUCCCUGUCUCUUAUAC
Molecule: ribosomal RNA, 301 nt
Filed under: uncultured bacterium
Lineage: Bacteria
Description: partial 16S ribosomal RNA
Rfam family: Bacterial small subunit ribosomal RNA
Source: RNAcentral